UACGAAGGGGGCUAGCGUUGCUCGGAAUCACUGGGCUUAAAGGGCGCGUAGGCGGCUCGCGAGGUCGGGGGUGAAAUCCCGCAGCUUAACUGCGGAAGGGCCUCCGAUACCGGCGGGCUGGAGGAAGGUAGGGGUGCGCGGAACUUCUGGUGGAGCGGUGAAAUGCGUUGAUAUCAGAAGGAACGCCGGCGGCGAAAGCGGCGCACUGGACCUUUUCUGACGCUGAGGCGCGAAAGCUAGGGGAGCAAACGGG
RNAcentral lists this ribosomal RNA (253 nucleotides) under uncultured bacterium. RNAcentral describes it as "partial 16S ribosomal RNA". It matches the Rfam family "Bacterial small subunit ribosomal RNA", at positions 524 to 776 of the family's 1533-position model. The record is from RNAcentral.